GAUGAACGCUGGCGGCGUGCCUAAUACAUGCAAGUCGAGCGAACAGAUGAGGAGCUUGCUCCUCUGACGUUAGCGGCGGACGGGUGAGUAACACGUGGAUAACCUACCUAUAAGACUGGGAUAACUUCGGGAAACCGGAGCUAAUACCGGAUAAUAUAUUGAACCGCAUGGUUCAAUAGUGAAAGACGGUUUUGCUGUCACUUAUAGAUGGUUCCGCGCCGCAUUAGCUAGUUGGUAAGGUAACGGCUUACCAAGGCAACGAUGCGUAGCCGACCUGAGAGGGUGAUCGGCCACACUGGAACUGAGACACGGUCCAGACUCCUACGGGAGGCAGCAGUAGGGAAUCUUCCGCAAUGGGCGAAAGCCUGACGGAGCAACGCCGCGUGAGUGAUGAAGGUCUUCGGAUCGUAAAACUCUGUUAUUAGGGAAGAACAAAUGUGUAAGUAACUUUGCACGUCUUGACGGUACCUAAUCAGAAAGCCACGGCUAACUACGUG
RNAcentral lists this ribosomal RNA (497 nucleotides) under uncultured bacterium. RNAcentral's name for it is "partial 16S ribosomal RNA". It matches the Rfam family "Bacterial small subunit ribosomal RNA", at positions 28 to 507 of the family's 1533-position model. The record is from RNAcentral.